Molecule: ribosomal RNA, 349 nt
Filed under: Escherichia coli
Lineage: Bacteria; Pseudomonadati; Pseudomonadota; Gammaproteobacteria; Enterobacterales; Enterobacteriaceae
Description: partial 23S ribosomal RNA
Rfam family: Bacterial large subunit ribosomal RNA
Source: RNAcentral
CCGCCCAAGAGUUCAUAUCGACGGCGGUGUUUGGCACCUCGAUGUCGGCUCAUCACAUCCUGGGGCUGAAGUAGGUCCCAAGGGUAUGGCUGUUCGCCAUUUAAAGUGGUACGCGAGCUGGGUUUAGAACGUCGUGAGACAGUUCGGUCCCUAUCUGCCGUGGGCGCUGGAGAACUGAGGGGGGCUGCUCCUAGUACGAGAGGACCGGAGUGGACGCAUCACUGGUGUUCGGGUUGUCAUGCCAAUGGCACUGCCCGGUAGCUAAAUGCGGAAGAGAUAAGUGCUGAAAGCAUCUAAGCACGAAACUUGCCCCGAGAUGAGUUCUCCCUGACUCCUUGAGAGUCCUGAA